This 360-nucleotide ribosomal RNA is filed under the name Triticum aestivum (bread wheat). RNAcentral's name for it is "partial small subunit ribosomal RNA". Lineage: Eukaryota; Viridiplantae; Streptophyta; Magnoliopsida; Poales; Poaceae. The record is from RNAcentral.
AUGUUCUCUGAAUCUCACAACUAUUUCGUAUUCAGGUGUUCAGGAGAACACAACAGAAAAUUAGAUCGAUCAGAGAGUUGCCUUUGUUCCACAAACCAUGACACGGAAGCAAUUCAGAAACAACAUGAUGAACAAGUGUGCUCAAAAGAAAACAGUUUAACCACAGUUACUGCAAUUCUCUCAGUCGCCAAGCAGAAAUUGCCAGACACUUACAAAGAGCAAGAGAAGCGUAUUCUGAAGAUUUUGCGUGAGGUUGUGAACCGCGGAAGACUUCAUAGUGGGUGCCAGCAGAUCAUCAAGUUCUGUAGAUACAGUACAACAGCAGCCAUUAUCCAAAUAAGAGACGCUGAAACCAUCUAA